RNAcentral lists this small RNA (127 nucleotides) under Marmota monax (woodchuck). The record is from RNAcentral. Lineage: Eukaryota; Metazoa; Chordata; Mammalia; Rodentia; Sciuridae.
GCUGGGCACAGUGGUGUUCAUCUGUAAUCCCAGUGACUUGGGAGGCUGAGGCAGGAGGAUUGCAAGUUCGAAACCAGCCUCAGCAAUUUAGCAAGACCCUAAGCAAUUUAGUGAGACCCUGUCUUUU